This 211-nucleotide unclassified non-coding RNA is filed under the name Hevea brasiliensis (rubber tree). The record is from RNAcentral. Lineage: Eukaryota; Viridiplantae; Streptophyta; Magnoliopsida; Malpighiales; Euphorbiaceae.
CGUAAACCCCGCGAGCCACAAGUUCUCGAAUCCUUCUACCCCGUCGUCGCCCUUGUCUUCAUUCUAGUUGCCUGUGUCGAGCUCUGUGACGCCGCCACAGUCGUCGAUGUCUACCGUCUCAUUCACUACGAUAUCUCUGGUGUUCCCUUUGGAUCCCGCGCCGCCACACUCAAUCACCAUGCUUCCUCUCUUCAUUUUCCCUCUGCUGCUG